This 300-nucleotide ribosomal RNA is filed under the name uncultured Methanobrevibacter sp. RNAcentral's name for it is "bacterial SSU rRNA". It matches the Rfam family "Bacterial small subunit ribosomal RNA", at positions 497 to 795 of the family's 1533-position model. Lineage: Archaea; Methanobacteriati; Methanobacteriota; Methanobacteria; Methanobacteriales; Methanobacteriaceae. The record is from RNAcentral.
UUAACCUCCUUUACACGAACCGUGUUAUUACUGAGGAUCGAAACUUUUUCCGGAAGCAUUUGGUUGUCAGGGUCCGUAGGCCGCCUUAUAAUUCAGUGGUUAAAGUUUUUGUCUUAACCAAAAAAUUGCCAUUGAUACUGUAGGGCUUUAAUAUUUGUGAAGUAACUAGAAUAUGUAGUGUAGCGGUGAAAUGCUUAGAUAUUACAUGGAAUACCAAUUGCGAAGGCAGGUUACUAACAAAUGAUUGACGCUGAUGGACGAAAGCGUGGGUAGCGAACAGGAUUAGAUACCCGGGUAGUC